AUUGAACGCUGGCGGAAUGCUUUACACAUGCAAGUCGAACGGUAGAGGGGGCAACCCCUCGAGAGUGGCGAACGGGUGAGUAAUAUAUCGGAACGUGCCCAGUCGUGGGGGAUAACGUAGCGAAAGUUACGCUAAUACCGCAUACGAUCUAAGGAUGAAAGCGGGGGAUCGCAAGACCUCGCGCGAUUGGAGCGGCCGAUAUCAGAUUAGGUAGUUGGUGGGGUAAAGGCUCACCAAGCCAACGAUCUGUAGCUGGUCUGAGGGGACGACCAGCCACACUGGAACUGAGGCACAGUACAGACUCCUACGGGAGGCAGCAGUGGGGAAUUUUGGACAAUGGACGCAAGUCUGAUCCAGCCAUUCCGCGUGCAGGAUGAAGGCCCUCGGGUUGUAAACUGCUUUUGUACGGAACGAAAAGGUCUCUCUUAAUACGGGGGGCUCAUGACGGUACCGUAAGAAUAAGCACCGGCUAACUACGUGCCAGCCGCCGCCGUAA
This 496-nucleotide ribosomal RNA is filed under the name uncultured bacterium. RNAcentral describes it as "partial 16S ribosomal RNA". It matches the Rfam family "Bacterial small subunit ribosomal RNA", at positions 30 to 523 of the family's 1533-position model. The record is from RNAcentral.